RNAcentral lists this ribosomal RNA (760 nucleotides) under uncultured bacterium. RNAcentral describes it as "bacterial SSU rRNA". It matches the Rfam family "Bacterial small subunit ribosomal RNA", at positions 53 to 825 of the family's 1533-position model. The record is from RNAcentral.
GCAUGCAAGUCGAGGGAGAACCAGUUGAUUCGUAAGAUUCGGCUGGGGAAACCGGCGAACGGGUGCGUAACACGUGAGGAACCUGCCCCGAAGACUGGGAUAGCCCGAGGAAACUCGGAUUAAUACCGGAUACCCUCUUUGGACCACAUGGUCUAUUGAGGAAAUGGUCCGCCGCUUCGGGAUGGCCUCGCGGCCUAUCAGCUUGUUGGUGAGGUAAUGGCUCACCAAGGCCGAGACGGGUAGCUGGUCUGAGAGGACGAUCAGCCACACUGGGACUGAGACACGGCCCAGACUCCUACGGGAGGCAGCAGCAGGGAAUAUUGCACAAUGGGCGAAAGCCUGAUGCAGCGACACCGCGUGCGGGAUGAAGGCCUUCGGGUUGUAAACCGCUUUCAGGAGGGACGAAAAUGACGGUACCUCCAGAAGAAGGCCCGGCCAACUACGUGCCAGCAGCCGCGGUAAUACGUAGGGGCCAAACGUUGUCCGGAUUUAUUGGGCGUAAAGGGCUCGUAGGCGGUUCAAAAAGUCGGUCGUGAAAGCCCGGGGCUCAACCCCGGGACGCCGGUCGAAACUGUUGUGACUAGGGUCCGGUAGAGGUGAGUGGAAUUCUCGGUGUAGCGGUGGAAUGCGCAGAUAUCGAGAGGAACACCGGUAGCGAAGGCGGCUCACUGGGCCGGUACCGACGCUGAGGAGCGAAGCAUGGGGAGCAACAGGAUUAGAUACCUGGUAGUCAUGCCGUAACGAUGAACACUAGGUGUGG